UCUUCACCUAAGGCCGUCCCUGCCUUUUCUCUUUGGCUUGCCAUCAGCGGUCUGUGCCAGGCCCUUUCGGACACCCAGUGCUUGGGGCUGCAGUGUGGUUGGUAAUGUGGAGUCUGCUUGUCAUCCUCAGCAUCCAGCCAUGCCCUGAUGUAAAGUAUGGCAAACGUAUCCAUGUGCUACCCAUUGAUGACACAGUGGAAGGCAUCACUGGCAAUCUUUUUGAGGUAUACCUUAAGCCGUACUUCCUGGAAGCAUAUCGGCCCAUCCGUAAAGGUGAGAGAAACUGAGUUUAAGAACAGUUGUUACUUGAGUAAACUUUUAACAAUUCCAUGUUAUUUUCAUGUGUCUGAGUAUUAUGUAUAGCUAUAAUCUGCACACAUAUUCAAUUGUCAGCUCUCUUACCUCCCUUCUGUGCUCUAGUAUAGUAAGCAGUUCUCAUGU
Molecule: long non-coding RNA, 441 nt
Filed under: Rattus norvegicus (Norway rat)
Lineage: Eukaryota; Metazoa; Chordata; Mammalia; Rodentia; Muridae
Description: long non-coding RNA NONRATT023174
Source: RNAcentral